Molecule: ribosomal RNA, 459 nt
Filed under: uncultured bacterium
Lineage: Bacteria
Description: partial 16S ribosomal RNA
Rfam family: Bacterial small subunit ribosomal RNA
Source: RNAcentral
CCUACGGGUGGCAGCAGUGAGGAAUAUUGGUCAAUGGGCGGGAGCCUGAACCAGCCAAGUCGCGUGAGGGAAGACGGUCCUGCGUGUUGUAAACCUCUUUUGCCAGGGGACAAAGGCGGCCACGCGUGCCCCCCCGAGGGUACCUGGAGAAAAAGCAUCGGCUAACUCCGUGCCAGCAGCCGCGGUAAUACGGAGGAUGCGAGCGUUAUCCGGAUUUAUUGGGUUUAAAGGGUGCGCAGGCGGCGGGGCAAGUCAGCGGUAAAAUGUCGGGGCUCAACCCCGGCCGGCCGUUGAAACUGGCGUGCUAGAGUGGGCGAGAAGUAUGCGGAAUGCGUGGUGUAGCGGUGAAAUGCAUAGAUAUCACGAAGAACCCCGAUUGCGAAGGCAGCAUACCGGCUCCAAACUGACGCUGAGGCACGAAAGCGUGGGUAUCGAACAGGAUUAGAUACCCCUGUAGUC